RNAcentral lists this long non-coding RNA (715 nucleotides) under Setaria viridis. RNAcentral describes it as "long non-coding RNA (SVIR_LNC007565)". The record is from RNAcentral. Lineage: Eukaryota; Viridiplantae; Streptophyta; Magnoliopsida; Poales; Poaceae.
GGAUUUCUAAUUUUUUUUGAUGCAAAACCCUUUAGUCCCGCACCCGAAUUAUUAGUUCCAGUUGGGAAAACCGAGAUCUUUAAGGUUUCCCAACCAAGACUAUAGUUCAUUUCUCUACUAGUGAUAGAACAAUGUUGACUCAGCUAACAUGGCUCAACGUAGAUUAUAAAAUCUAAGCAAAUCAGGCCUAAAGGCUACUUGUUAGUAUUGUUAAGGUCUGAAAAUUUGAUGUUGAGAUGUUUUUCUUUUUCAAGAAGAAGAACUCUAGGACUUUCUUUAAGCACGUCUCCUACGUCCCAACACACACACACAAAAUUUCUAGGACUUUUUAAAGCAUCUUGAGUAUUAACAUAAGUUGUCAUUCUCAUUCUUGAUACAACAGAUAUCGGACUCAGUGGGCACUUAAUUGACAACCAAUAAUCUUCUUCCAUAGUUUUAACCAACAAGUGCACUGUCAAAAUAUAUAUCACUAUCAAAACUAAACCCUUAUGUAGUCGCACCAUCUGGUCUCAUUUCACAGUUUUCAAAACCGCCACAUCAUUUAGACUAAAAUGAAACCUCAAAUGAAACAGUUCUUAGAAGAACUCCGAGAGUCUAAAAAAAAUCUCCCCCAAAACUAUCUAUUGGGGGCUCUACUAAAAUUUUUCUCCCAAAAUCAUGUCAUCUCACAGCAGAUCCCUAAUAAUAAACUCCCCAAUACUUCAAAACUAGCUAU